GAGAGAAUAAUCAUGUUGGCUGCUAACCUUCAUUAUUGCUAAAGCUUUCUCUUU
Molecule: transfer RNA, 54 nt
Filed under: Leptotrombidium pallidum
Lineage: Eukaryota; Metazoa; Arthropoda; Arachnida; Trombidiformes; Trombiculidae
Description: tRNA-Ser
Source: RNAcentral